Non-coding RNA from Elaeis guineensis (African oil palm), 2603 nucleotides. The record is from RefSeq and is a predicted model, not a curated record. Lineage: Eukaryota; Viridiplantae; Streptophyta; Magnoliopsida; Arecales; Arecaceae.
CAUUAUUCUUACAGGAGCACGAUCAAGGACCAAGGAGCUGACUGUUGAAGGCAACGCUUGGACCAGUGUCUAACACCAGAGCCCAAUCAGCUUCAAGUCGGAUCCGCUACCAACUCAUUUUCCAAGUCCCGCAUUUCCAAACCCUAGCGAAAACCUCCCUUCUGUUUCUUCUCUUUCCCGGCUCGAACACUGACGCAUGCUCGCAAAAACGAUGCUACCCUCCUCCUCCCGCCUCCGUCCCCUCCUCUACUCCCUCCUUCUCUCCACCCCCAAAGCCCGCCCCUUCUCCACCGCCAUCUCUCAAGACUCCGAUCUCUCGCACCCCACUUCGCCCCCCACCGAAGAAUCCAUCCUUUAUGUCCUCAAGAAGCUCGACAAAAAGCCCCAAAAGGCCUUGUCCUUCUUCAAUUGCAUCACCUCCCAGUAUGGCUUCAAGCCCGCCCACCCCACCUACAAUCUCAUGCUCCGCAUCCUCGGCCACAAGGACUCCGUCAAGGAUUUCUGGGCGUUCCUCAAGUCCAUGGACCACGCCGGCCACACCAUCGACCGCAGCACCUACGUUACCCUCCUUGCCAACUUCAAGAAGCAUAAGAUGGCCGCCGAGUCGUCGGCGUUAACCCAGUUCUAUUCCCGAACCAUGGCCAAGGCCGCCUCUGAUACCGCCAUAGAUUCCGCCGUCAAAAUUAUUCUGGACGCCGAGGAAUGGAACGAGGCGGCGGAGAAGAAGUUGCAGGACCUGGAUUUAUCGUUGUCAGAGAUCAUGGUCGCGAAGGUCCUUCAAGAAUUGCGAGAUUGCCCGUCAAAGGUGCUGGCUUUUUUCCGGUGGGUGGGGCAGAGGCCAGGGUAUAAGCAUGGGUCGGUGGCAUACAAUGCUAUGGCUCGUGUACUCGGACAGGGUGAUUUCAUUGGAGAAUUCUGGAGCUUGGUUCAGGAGAUGAAAGGAGAGGGGCACGAGAUGGAUAUCGACACGUAUAUAAAGCUCUCAAGGCGGUUCCAGAAGACGAAAAUGAUGAGGGAAGCAGUGGAGCUUUAUGAAUUCAUGAUGGAUGGCCCCUACAAGCCAGCGAUUCAGGACUGCGGCAUGCUUCUGAGGCAGAUUGCACUGAGUGGAAUGCCGGAUCUCGAGUUGGUUUUUAGAGUUGUGAGGAAGUAUGAGGCUGCUGGGUAUUCGCUGUCCAAGGUCGUCUAUGAUGGGAUUCAUAGGUCACUGACCAGCAUUGGGAAGUUUGAUGAAGCUGAUGAGAUCUUGAAAAAGAUGAAGCUUGCAGGUUAUGAACCAGAUAACAUCACUUAUAGCCAGUUGGUCUAUGGUCUCUGUAAGGCUAAGAGAUUGGAUGACGCUUGCAAGGUUUUGGAUGAGAUGGAAGCAGGUGGCUGCAUUCCUGACCUGAAGACCUGGACAGUUUUGAUUCAAGGGCAUUGUUCGGCCGGUGAGGUGAAUAAGGCCUUAGAGUUAUUGGCAAAGAUGAUUGAGAAGAAUUGUGAAGCAGAUGCUGAUGUUCUGGAUGUCUUGGUGAAAGGUUUGUGUAGUAAGAGAAGGGCAGAUGGUGCCUACACUUUGGUUGUUGAAAUGGUGGAGAGUGCCCGUAUAAGGGCUUGGCAAGCGACUUAUAAGUAUUUGAUUCAAGAGCUACUGAGUGUCAGAAUGCUUGAAGAGGCAUUGAAGCUUCUCAAUACGAUGAAGAGCCAUAAGUUUCCUCCUUUUGCAGAUCCUUUUCCUCCCUAUAUAGCCAAAUAUGGGACAAUUGAAGAUGCCAGAGAUUUUCUGAAAGCAUUGACAGUGAACGACUACCCAUCAGCUACUGCCUAUUUACAUGUCUUCAAGUCCUUCUUCCAGGAAGCAAAAACUGGAAUACAAUGUGGAUGACUACACCGAACACCAACCAUGACAAGUUGUUGCAACUACUUGUAAGGUAGGCAACAGGAUCUCUUGUUGAAACUGAAGAGAAGAAAGCAUGCUGAUGGGUUCAGAAAGUGUAAAUCUCCUGACAACAUUAAUAAUGUUGAUUGUAUGAUUUCUCAAAGUGAAGUUAUUCUGGAGGAUCUGAUAAUGCGACAAAUGACACUACUUAACCAGCAAUUUACUUUGAAGGAGAAUCUGAUGCACUUUUUUAUCUGCAAUACAAUCAAAAGGCAGGAAAUAUAUGGUCCAAGAUUUAAUUAAAGUCUGAGAAUAUGAUCCAAGAUUUGAUGAAAGUCUGAGAAUAUGAAGUUAUAAAGAAGGCAAUUGAGCAAGCACGUAUUUGUUCAAAAGGUGAAGUUUGUGCUGAUUUAGUGAAAAAAAGGACUUGAUCUACACACAUUACAUGGCUUACACCAUCCUCAUAAAUAUGCUGAAAGAAUUUUAAAGGGCAUUCUUUGGUUUGCCGGUUGACAUUCACAAGGGAUUACAGAGAAUCAAAGGGCUGAAGAAAGAUGAGUUCAAGCUCUUCGGUGCUGUGGAGAAUCAAUCUCUGCUGAAGCUAUGAGAAUUUAUCUACUGGAGCUACCGUCGGGAAGAACUCUAGAAUUAGAAGACUAUUAUUACAUGCCAAAGAUUAUGAGAAAUAUCAUAUCUGUACCUCUUUUGAUAUAAUAUGGAUAUGAAAUAAAAUUUAUAGACA